ACCUGCACAGGUGCUGCAUGGCUGUCGUCAGCUCGUGUCGUGAGAUGUUGGGUUAAGUCCCGCAACGAGCGCAACCCUUGUCAUUAGUUGCCAUCAUUUGGUUGGGCACUCUAAUGAGACUAGCCGGUGACAAACCGGAGGAAGGUGGGGAUGACGUCAAGUCCUCAUGGCCCUUAUGGUAGGGCUUCACACGUCAUACAAUGGUCGGUACAGAGGGUUGCCAACCCGCGAGGGGGAGCUAAUCCCACAAAGCCGAUCGUAGUCCGGAUUGCAGUCUGCAACUCGACUGCGUGAAGUCGGAAUCGCUAGUAAUCGUGGAUCAGCAUGUCACGGUGAAUACGUUCCCGGGUCUU
RNAcentral lists this ribosomal RNA (353 nucleotides) under uncultured Rhodocyclaceae bacterium. Its description in RNAcentral is "bacterial SSU rRNA". It matches the Rfam family "Bacterial small subunit ribosomal RNA", at positions 1028 to 1382 of the family's 1533-position model. Lineage: Bacteria; Pseudomonadati; Pseudomonadota; Betaproteobacteria; Rhodocyclales; Rhodocyclaceae. The record is from RNAcentral.